Molecule: ribosomal RNA, 556 nt
Filed under: Papiliotrema terrestris
Lineage: Eukaryota; Fungi; Basidiomycota; Tremellomycetes; Tremellales; Rhynchogastremaceae
Description: eukaryotic LSU rRNA
Rfam family: Eukaryotic large subunit ribosomal RNA
Source: RNAcentral
CUCAAAUUUGAAAUCUGGCGUGCUCAGUGCGUCCGAGUUGUAAUCUAUAGAGGCGUUUUCCGUGCCGGACUGUGUCUAAGUCCCUUGGAACAGGGUAUCAAAGAGGGUGAUAAUCCCGUACUUGACACAAUGACCGGUGCUCUGUGAUACGUCUUCUACGAGUCGAGUUGUUUGGGAAUGCAGCUCAAAAUGGGUGGUGAGUUCCAUCUAAAGCUAAAUAUUGGCGAGAGACCGAUAGCGAACAAGUACCGUGAGGGAAAGAUGAAAAGCACUUUGGAAAGAGAGUUAAACAGUACGUGAAAUUGUUGAAAGGGAAACGAUUGAAGUCAGUCGUGACUGAGAGGCUCAGCCGGUUCUGCCGGUGUAUUCCCCUCAGUCGGGUCAACAUCAGUUUUGUUCGGUGGAUAAGGGCAGCUGGAAGGUGGCACCUCCGGGUGUGUUAUAGCCAGCUGUCGCAUACAUCGAAUGAGACUGAGGAAUGCAGCUCGCCUUUAUGGCCGGGGUUCGCCCACGUCCGAGCUUAGGAUGUUGACAUAAUGGCUUUAAACGACCCGUC